RNAcentral lists this long non-coding RNA (485 nucleotides) under Panax ginseng (ginseng). RNAcentral describes it as "long non-coding RNA (PGIN_LNC011406)". Lineage: Eukaryota; Viridiplantae; Streptophyta; Magnoliopsida; Apiales; Araliaceae. The record is from RNAcentral.
AAAUUUUAAAGUAUUAAUUAAAACACACCAAUUUAGACAUUUGAGUAAUAACUAAUAAGCAAGCAUAUGACAGAAUGCACAAUUUCCAAAUAAAAGUUUAAAUUUUAUUCAGUUCUGACAAAUACCCAAUUACCCUCAUUCACUACGAGGAAACAACAUAUCUAUCAAAUCAUUUUCAACCUUCUGCUUGACCGACGGAGGGUGAAAGAAUUAAACAUGGUGGUUGGUUGGCUGCUGGAACUUUGGAACAUCAGAAGAGGGGUCAUGGAAUCGCCGGCCUGUGAAGAUCGUCUAAAAUGCGCGAAACACCGCCUCUGCUCAAAUUGAAAGCAGAUAAGAAUUGGCUGCAUGCGGGUUUUAAUUUCUAUUGUCACACGUCAUGUGGAGAUAAGGUGGUGCAUAUAAAUCAAAGAUAGUAGUUAGGCAUUGAUGUAGGCAGCUUAACCAUACUAUAAGAUCAGAAUGAAAUGGAAGAUUAUUGUAAG